UACGUAGGUGGCAAGCGUUGUUCGGAAUUAUUGGGCGUAAAGGGCGCGUAGGCGGCUCGUUAAGUCGGCUGUGAAAGCCCGGGGCUCAACCCCGGAGGGUCGGCCGAUACUGGAUGGCUUGAGUUUGGGAGAGGGAUGCGGAAUUCCAGGUGUAGCGGUGAAAUGCGUAGAUAUCUGGAGGAACACCGGUGGCGAAGGCGGCAUCCUGGACCAACACUGACACUGAGGAGCGAAAGCCAGGGGAGCAAACGGG
Molecule: ribosomal RNA, 253 nt
Filed under: uncultured prokaryote
Description: partial 16S ribosomal RNA
Rfam family: Bacterial small subunit ribosomal RNA
Source: RNAcentral